RNAcentral lists this ribosomal RNA (439 nucleotides) under uncultured bacterium. RNAcentral describes it as "partial 16S ribosomal RNA". It matches the Rfam family "Bacterial small subunit ribosomal RNA", at positions 338 to 795 of the family's 1533-position model. The record is from RNAcentral.
CCUACGGGAGGCAGCAGUGGGGAAUAUUGCACAAUGGGCGAAAGCCUGAUGCAGCAACGCCGCGUGAGCGAUGAAGGCCUUCGGGUCGUAAAGCUAUGUCCUCAAGGAAGAUAAUGACGGUACUUGAGGAGGAAGCCCCGGCUAACUACGUGCCAGCAGCCGCGGUAAUACGUAGGGGGCUAGCGUGAUCCGGAAUUACUGGGCGUAAAGGGUGCGUAGGUGGUGUCUUAAGUCAGAGGUGAAAGGCUAGGGCUCAACCGUAGUAAGCCUGUGAAACUGGGGAACUUGAGUGCAGGAGAGGAGAGUGGAAUUCCUUGUGGUGCGGUUAAAUGCGUAGAUAUUAGGAGGAACACCAGUUGCGAAGGCGGCUCUUUGGACUGUAACUGACACUGAGGCACGAAAGCGUGUGGAGCAAACAGGAUUAGAUACCCGUGUAGUC